This 292-nucleotide ribosomal RNA is filed under the name uncultured bacterium. RNAcentral's name for it is "partial 16S ribosomal RNA". It matches the Rfam family "Bacterial small subunit ribosomal RNA", at positions 505 to 796 of the family's 1533-position model. The record is from RNAcentral.
GUGUCAGCCGCCGCGGUAAUACGGAGGGGGCUAGCGUUGUUCGGAAUUACUGGGCGUAAAGCGCACGUAGGCGGCUUUGUAAGUUAGAGGUGAAAGCCCAGGGCUCAACCCUGGAAUUGCCUUUAAGACUGCAUCGCUUGAACAUCGGAGAGGUAAGUGGAAUUCCGAGUGUAGAGGUGAAAUUCGUAGAUAUUCGGAAGAACACCAGUGGCGAAGGCGACUUACUGGACGAUUGUUGACGCUGAGGUGCGAAAGCGUGGGGAGCAAACAGGAUUAGAAACCCGUGUAGUCC